This 644-nucleotide long non-coding RNA is filed under the name Lactuca sativa (garden lettuce). RNAcentral's name for it is "long non-coding RNA (LSAT_LNC004918)". Lineage: Eukaryota; Viridiplantae; Streptophyta; Magnoliopsida; Asterales; Asteraceae. The record is from RNAcentral.
UUCAGGAAGGGCUUUGGUGAAGACGUCAGCCAGUUGAUCAGUGGUUCUAACAAAAUGAAUUUCAACGUUCCCAUCUUCCACAUGAUCUUUAAUGAAGUGAUACCUCAGUGCUAUGUGCUUGGUCUUGGAGUGUUGCACUGGGUUAUGACAAAUCCUAAUUGCACUUUCAGAGUCACAAUAUAGUGGGAUCUUUUUCAUAUUGAGUUCAUAGUCCCGGAGUUGACUUUGGAUCCAAAUCACUUGAGAAGUGCAGGAGGCAGCUGCAAUGUAUUCUGCUUCAGCUGUAGACAAAGACACACAAGUUUGUUUCUUUGAUUGCCAGCUAACCAACUUCCCGUCGAGGAAUUGGCAGCCUCCCGUGGUGCUUUUCCUGUCUAGUCCACAACCUCCAAGGUCUGCAUCUGAGUAGGCUUGAACGAAGAAGCCUGAGUUGGAUGGAUACCAUAGGCCUAAAGAGGUCGUUCGCUUAAGAUAACGGAGUAUGUUCUUCACUGCAAGCAUAUGAGGUUCACGUGGAUUCGCCUGAAAUCUAGCACAGUAACAUACAGAGAACAUUAUAUCAGGCCUGCUAGCAGUAAGAUACAUCAGAGAACCGAUCAUCUGGCGAUAUAGCGUAAUAUCAACUGCUGGCUUAUCCAAGGAUG